UACGUAGGGGCAAGCGUUGUCCGGAAUUAUUGGGCGUAAAGAGCGUGUAGGCGGUCCGGUAAGUCAGCUGUGAAAGUCAAGGGCUCAACCCUUGAAAGCCGGUUGAUACUGUCGGGCUAGAGUCCGGAAGAGGCGAGUGGAAUUCCCGGUGUAGCGGUGAAAUGCGCAGAUAUCGGGAGGAACACCAAUGGCGAAGGCAGCUCGCUGGGACGGUACUGACGCUGAGACGCGAAAGCGUGGGGAGCAAACAGG
Molecule: ribosomal RNA, 252 nt
Filed under: uncultured bacterium
Lineage: Bacteria
Description: partial 16S ribosomal RNA
Rfam family: Bacterial small subunit ribosomal RNA
Source: RNAcentral